GGCAAUGUAAAGCAAAAAUAGCAACAGGUUAACUAAUACGGUAUGCAUUCCAUCUCAUAGUUAUUAAUCUCUUUUGACAUAACUAGUCAACAUCACUUAACUCUGAUGUGGAAUGUUCCUCCCACUGUCCCAGAAAAGUGAACAUCAACUACUCACCCACUGAUUGAAAAAUGUUCACAGGAAUAAUGUUCCUUAAUGCCAAAUCUACCUGCUUAAUAAGGUAUAUUUGUGAACUUGCACUCCAAAAAGGGAUGUGUUCGUGAUCAAACAAGGCCAAAGAUGUAACCCAAAACGGCAAAAAUCAUUAACCAACCAAGGAGGAAGGGAAAAAAAAAAAAAGAAAGAAACAAAGAAAAAUUCCCCCAUUGGAUCGACUAACUAUUUCCCUAAGAACCACCCACCAAUCGCCUUCGCAGCUCCUUCGCCAUGGCCUUCCUAGUGUCCUCCGUCCUGGACGCUGCAUCUCUAUUCUCCUGCGCCCUCCGAAGCAAAUACAGCGCACACUCGCCCACUGUGCCCCACACGAGGUACUUGCAUAUCUUUGGCGCCUCCACAUCCACCAUUACCCCUUCCGCCUGCUGUUCGCGAGCGCACUUCCCCGCCUGCACCAGGUGGCAGCUGAUGUCAUCAGCCAUGCCGAACAGCUGGCCAUAGGCCAUUUCGAUCUGAUUUGCCCCGCUGGUGCGCUUCUGUUCGUCUCGAAGCUUCUUGGCUCGUUCAACAGAGACGCGGUUGUGCGAGGCUAGGAGGAGAUCGACUUUGGGGAAUUGGGAGUACUUCUGCUCUUUCCUCUGGGCGCUGGUUAUCCUUGUGCCCCCGGAUGGUGGCAAAUAAUUAUGGGGUUUAAGAAUGUCUCCGUACUGUUGCUUAAUCAACGAUUGGGCAAUGCCGUCAUAUGCACCCCGGACGAGCUUGACGCCCAGUGCGAAUCCCUCCGCCUCCGCGAUGGCGAGAUGCUGUGAGAGAGUUGCCGGGG
RNAcentral lists this small RNA (976 nucleotides) under Histoplasma capsulatum var. duboisii H88. RNAcentral describes it as "Histoplasma capsulatum H88 hypothetical RNA". Lineage: Eukaryota; Fungi; Ascomycota; Eurotiomycetes; Onygenales; Ajellomycetaceae. The record is from RNAcentral.